RNAcentral lists this ribosomal RNA (433 nucleotides) under uncultured bacterium. Its description in RNAcentral is "partial 16S ribosomal RNA". It matches the Rfam family "Bacterial small subunit ribosomal RNA", at positions 29 to 507 of the family's 1533-position model. The record is from RNAcentral.
AACGAACGCUGGCGGCAUGCCUAACACAUGCAAGUCGAACGAGACCUUCGGGUCUAGUGGCGCACGGGUGAGUAACGCGUGGGAACCUGCCCUUAGGUUCGGAAUAACUCCCCGAAAGGGGUGCUAAUACCGGAUAAUGUCUUCGGACCAAAGAUUUAUCGCCUUUGGAUGGGCCCGCGUUGGAUUAGCUAGUUGGUAGGGUAAAAGCCUACCAAGGCGACGAUCCAUAGCUGGUCUGAGAGGAUGAUCAGCCACACUGGGACUGAGACACGGCCCAGACUCCUACGGGAGGCAGCAGUGGGGAAUAUUGGACAAUGGGCGAAAGCCUGAUCCAGCAAUGCCGCGUGAGUGAUGAAGGCCUUAGGGUUGUAAAGCUCUUUUACCCGGGAUGAUAAUGACAGUACCGGGAGAAUAAGCGCCGGCUAACUCCGUG